AAGUCGAGCGAACAGACGAGGAGCUUGCUCCUCUGACGUUAGCGGCGGACGGGUGAGUAACACGUGGAUAACCUACCUAUAAGACUGGGAUAACUUCGGGAAACCGGAGCUAAUACCGGAUAAUAUAUUGAACCGCAUGGUUCAAUAGUGAAAGACGGUUUUGCUGUCACUUAUAGAUGGAUCCGCGCCGCAUUAGCUAGUUGGUAAGGUAACGGCUUACCAAGGCAACGAUGCGUAGCCGACCUGAGAGGGUGAUCGGCCACACUGGAACUGAGACACGGUCCAGACUCCUACGGGAGGCAGCAGUAGGGAAUCUUCCGCAAUGGGCGAAAGCCUGACGGAGCAACGCCGCGUGAGUGAUGAAGGUCUUCGGAUCGUAAAACUCUGUUAUUAGGGAAGAACAAAUGUGUAAGUAACUAUGCACGUCUUGACGGUACCUAAUCAGAAAGCCACGGCUAACUACGUGCCAGCAGCCGCGGUAAUACGUAGGUGGCAAGCGUUAUCCGGAAUUAUUGGGCGUAAAGCGCGCGUAGGCGGUUUUUUAAGUCUGAUGUGAAAGCCCACGGCUCAACCGUGGAGGGUCAUUGGAAACUGGAAAACUUGAGUGCAGAAGAGGAAAGUGGAAUUCCAUGUGUAGCGGUGAAAUGCGCAGAGAUAUGGAGGAACACCAGUGGCGA
This 677-nucleotide ribosomal RNA is filed under the name uncultured Staphylococcus sp. RNAcentral describes it as "bacterial SSU rRNA". It matches the Rfam family "Bacterial small subunit ribosomal RNA", at positions 59 to 718 of the family's 1533-position model. Lineage: Bacteria; Bacillati; Bacillota; Bacilli; Caryophanales; Staphylococcaceae. The record is from RNAcentral.